AGCAGCCGCGGUAAUUCCAGCUCCAAUAGCGUAUAUUAAAGUUGUUGCAGUUAAAAGCUCGUAGUUGAAUUUCGGGGUUAGUAGGUUGGUCAUGCCUCUGGUAUGUACUGGUCUCACUGAUUCCUCCUUCCUGAUGAAUCUUAAUGCCAUUAAUUUGGUGUUUUGGGGAAUUUGGACUGUUACUUUGAAAAAUUAGAGUGUUUAAAGCAGGCAUCCGUCUGAAUACAUUAGCAUGGAAUAAUAAAAUAGGACGGUUUGGUUCUAUUUUGUUGGUUUCUAGGAUAACCGUAAUGAUUAAUAGGGAUAGUUGGGGGCAUUAGUAUUCAAUUGUCAGAGGUGAAAUUCUUGGAUUUAUUGAAGACUAACUACUGCGAAAGCAUUUGCCAAGGAUGUUUUCAUUAAUCAAGAACGAAAGUUAGGGGAUCGAAGACGAUCAGAUACCGUCGUAGUCUUAACCAUAAACUAUGCCGACUAGGGAUCGGACGAAGUUAAUUUUUAAUGACUCGUUCGGCACCUUACG
Molecule: ribosomal RNA, 520 nt
Filed under: uncultured Glomus
Lineage: Eukaryota; Fungi; Glomeromycota; Glomeromycetes; Glomerales; Glomeraceae
Description: SSU rRNA
Rfam family: Eukaryotic small subunit ribosomal RNA
Source: RNAcentral